UGUGAUGCAUUUAGUUUUUGAACACAUACGGCUUGUAUUUAUCCAUGCGCAUUCUUAUGGUCUCGGAUGUUACUGUUUGUAUAGCAUGAUUCCACGUUUGAGUAUGCAGCAUGAUUCCAUACUGAGAUGCCACCUUGGAAGGUUGUGGAUCAAUAUCUAGUUUGUCAUUACAAAAUUGUCUGAUGGUUGUUUGAGUUGCUGAUUCAGGAGUUCCAAUCAAUACUUCAGGGAUAUGUACUGACUUUAGCUUUGUUGGGCCAACUGUCGUACUGACUGUCCUAGCAAAAAAAGAAACUGUGGUACCGCCCCAUCGGUUCUCUUCCAAAUCCUUAAAUAGGGUUAUUUCUCCCUUAGAAUUCGCUCGGUUUCCAUCAGUCUCAUACUACCUUUUUUUCCUGCUAAUAUAACGAUCCUGUGCUUGUCCUCGAUGGUACUUUCCAGCUGAACAGCCACAAAAACGUUAAAGCAAGGAGUUCUUUACCGCUCGAAGCAUUCUGAAUGCCCAAGGUUGAUGUUAUAAAUGUCUUCAACCAAGUCAGCAGAAAACCUCGAGCUUUGACGCCAUCUCGGUAUCUUUUUGCUGGAGGAAAGUUUAUUUAUAGUCAGUGCUCUGAAGGAGGGAGCAUUUUUCACCAAAAAAAAAGAGAGGAGGGAGCAUGCUAGGAUGGUAACAACAUGAAAGGGAGUGAGCGUGUAAAAUGAGACUUAUAACAGUAUACAAGGAAGUUGUGUUAUAAUGGUAGAAAUGGUGGUUUUAUAUUUAUCACCUCAACCAGAUGCAAUCCAUUGGCACAGUAAUGUAGACUCAAAGGUGAUCAUGCUUGUCAGCUUGUCACAGUUCAGGACGUGACCUAAAAAAACUAGCUAAAAUAUAUUGUUUGAAUUUUUUUCGGACCUAGUAUAAAUAUUCAAAAUCUAUCUAAUAAUAGCUAAUAUGAGACUAAAUACAUGCUCAUACGAAUCCUUACAUACUCUCUCCAUUUAAACUCUAACAUCCUCGCCAAUCUAUGGUCACCUUAAUAAGCCCAUGGUGCAAUAUCUCCUGAUCCAUAUAGAACUGAUACCAUUUAUUACAACUCAGAACUUCAUCAAAAAAAGACUAUUUGAUAUAUAUUAUUUAGAUUUCUUGGUUUUAUAUAAAUACUAAAGAUCUACUUAGCAUAUAGCCGAUGGGAGACUAAAU
RNAcentral lists this long non-coding RNA (1183 nucleotides) under Phoenix dactylifera (date palm). Its description in RNAcentral is "long non-coding RNA (PDAC_LNC015469)". The record is from RNAcentral. Lineage: Eukaryota; Viridiplantae; Streptophyta; Magnoliopsida; Arecales; Arecaceae.